UGGGGAAUAUUGGACAAUGGGGGCAACCCUGAUCCAGCCAUGCCGCGUGAGUGAUGAAGGCCUUCGGGUUGUAAAGCUCUUUUGGCGGGGACGAUGAUGACGGUACCCGCAGAAUAAGCCCCGGCUAACUUCGUGCCAGCAGCCGCGGUAAGACGAAGGGGGCUAGCGUUGUUCGGAAUUACUGGGCGUAAAGCGAGUGUAGGCGGUUGCCGUAGUCAGGUGUGAAAGCCUUGAGCUCAACUCAAGAAAUGCACUUGAUACUGGGUGACUAGAGGACCGGAGAGGAUAGUGGAAUUCCCAGUGUAGUGGUGAAAUACGUAGAGAUUGGGAAGAACACCAGUGGCGAAGGCGGCUAUCUGGACGGUUACUGACGCUAAGACUCGAAAGCGUGGGGAGCAAACAGGAUUAGAUACCCUGGUAGUCCACGCCGUAAACGAUGGGUGCCAGACGUUGGCGAGCUUGCUCGUCAGUGUCGCAGCUAACGCGUUAAGCACCCCGCCUGGGGAGUACGGCCGC
This 516-nucleotide ribosomal RNA is filed under the name uncultured bacterium. RNAcentral's name for it is "partial 16S ribosomal RNA". It matches the Rfam family "Bacterial small subunit ribosomal RNA", at positions 355 to 889 of the family's 1533-position model. The record is from RNAcentral.